AGAGAUUUAAACACAUGUAAAACAAUGCCACUCUCUCCAUGAAUUGCUUUUGUUUGGAAGAUAUAGUUAUUUUUCAUAAAAAUAUGUUAUUUAUGUUAACAUGCAAUGAGUUUAAUGGAUUACUAAAUGUGUUUUAAAUGUCUUUUAAUGAAUACAUUCAAUAUCAAUAGAAAGACAUAAACUAAAGUUUUGGGGGUCUGAUUUUAAGAGUGUUAAAUGGUGCCAUGGCCAAAAUGUUUGAGAAUUGCUGCCUUAGGCAUAAAUUCAGUCUAAGAGUGAAGACACAUGAAAUAGAGAAAAUUCUUAGCUGGUGUUCAUUCGUUCGUUCAUUCAUUCAUUCAUUCAUUUAUUCAUGAUUAUGUGCAUGAUCAAGGCAUUGGGAUUAUACAAGUCAACAAAACAGCAAAAUGCCCUGCCCUCCUGGAGCUUAGUCAUAAGUGCUAUGGAGAAAAAUAAGCAGAGAAGGGGGUUGGAGGAAGCCUCUGACAAGUAGUAUGUUUAAAUACGCUGGUCAGGGGAGGAAGGCCUCACCGAGGUGACACUUGGGUAAGAUCUGCAAAUGGAGAGGGAGGAGGCAUGUCCUAUCCCAGGAAAGAAUGUUUUAGGCAGAAGGAGCAGUAAGUGCAAGGCCUGGCAUGUGUGAGGAAGAGAGAGGGGGCACUGUGCCCAGAGUGCAGUGAGGAAAGGAGAGAGCAAUAAGGGGUAAAGUCAGGCAGGAGGUGAUAAAGGAACCAGGUUUGUGGGACCUGGUGGACCCCUGACAUGACUUGAGCAUUCACAAGCAUGGUAUGGGAAGCUUUUGGAGGUUUUUGAACAGAGCAGUAAUGGGACCUGCUUGUCUUUAACAAGAUCACGCUGGCUGCAGGGCUGGAAAUAGAAGAGGGAAAGAGCAGAGAGAGGAAGCCUGUUCAGUAUUCUGCACCCCAGGCAGGAGAUGAUGGUGGCUUGGAACAAAUGGCAUCAAUGGAAGUAGUGAGAGUUGGAUUCCAGAUGUCAUUUGAAGAAAUAGCUGGAAUGUGUUUAAAGAAAGCAGUGAAUUCUCUAUGAACACUCCCAUCACCAAGGAAUCAACAGGAAUUGCCAGUGAAACAGAUCUAAAGGUGUGCUCUUCUGGACGGAAACAGUGGAAAGGCACCCUCCACCCCGAUUCCCUUUGUGGCUCCAUGCAGGCCCUGCUCAUAGCAGUGGUGGGAACAUCCACUCCCAUCUCACAGA
This is a long non-coding RNA of Myotis brandtii (Brandt's bat), 1215 nucleotides long. RefSeq lists it as uncharacterized. NCBI's taxonomy places the organism in Eukaryota, Metazoa, Chordata, Mammalia, Chiroptera, Vespertilionidae. The record is from RefSeq and is a predicted model, not a curated record. The transcript is spliced from 3 exons.